RNAcentral lists this ribosomal RNA (253 nucleotides) under uncultured bacterium. RNAcentral describes it as "partial 16S ribosomal RNA". It matches the Rfam family "Bacterial small subunit ribosomal RNA", at positions 524 to 776 of the family's 1533-position model. The record is from RNAcentral.
UACGUAGGUGGCAAGCGUUGUCCGGAAUUACUGGGUAUAAAGCGCGUGUAGGCGGCAGACCAAGUCGGCGGUGAAAGCGCCCGGCUCAACUGGGCGAGGUCCGUGGAAACUGGUCAGCUGGAGGACGGUAGAGGCGAGUGGAAUUCCCGGUGUAGUGGUGAAAUGCGUAGAGAUCGGGAGGAACACCUGUGGCGAAGGCGGCUCGCUGGGCCGGUCCUGACGCUGAGACGCGAAGGCGUGGGGAGCGAACGGG